Long non-coding RNA from Zingiber officinale, 649 nucleotides. RefSeq lists it as uncharacterized. The transcript is spliced from 4 exons. NCBI's taxonomy places the organism in Eukaryota, Viridiplantae, Streptophyta, Magnoliopsida, Zingiberales, Zingiberaceae. The record is from RefSeq and is a predicted model, not a curated record.
GAAUGCAGGGUCCGUCCGUUUUACCUGGCGACAGCGGCGGCCCAAGCGGCCGACCUCGCUGCUCUGAUUCACCGCCGGUGUUGAAUACCUUCGAUCGUCCUCCUCGACUCGACUUCGUUGCUUGCUGAGGCUGGUCUUUGCAAACAUGGCUGAGCUUCUUUUUGAAGACAUCUUUACUUUGACAAGAAUAGAUCCAGAUGGUAAAAAGUUCAAUAAAGUUUCUCGUAUAGAAGCAUGCAGUGAGCAGUUUGAUAGGUUCAUGCAUCUAGAUGUGAAUACUGAAAUUUAUCCACUUCACGCUGGAGAUAAAUUCACAAUGGUUUUAUCUCCAACACUCAAUUUGGAUGAAAACCCCUGACACUGCCUACUUUAUGCAGAGAAAUAUAUGCCUCAUUCGGAGGACUAAUGAUGAUGCUCAAGGGUGACCCCUCCAAUGCAGCUCAAUUUGAAUUGGACCAGAGACUCUUUCUUCUGAUUAGAAAAGUGUAAUUGAUUUGUUUCUCAACUAGAACUACUCUUCAUCUUCAGGCUAGAUAAUGACUUGGCUUUUGAAACACAUGGAAAAGUUAUGGAGGCUACUUGUUUCUUUGGAUUCUGUAUGACGCGAGCUUGGAAUUUUUUUUUUUUUUGUUAUCAUGAAACUAAUUUU